This 803-nucleotide long non-coding RNA is filed under the name Triticum aestivum (bread wheat). Its description in RNAcentral is "long non-coding RNA (TAES_LNC027638)". The record is from RNAcentral. Lineage: Eukaryota; Viridiplantae; Streptophyta; Magnoliopsida; Poales; Poaceae.
CUAAGCAUGGUCUAAUGUUUUGAGGGCAAUGACAGGGACCAUUCCAUUUGACGAGGCUCAUGCUGCCCGGAUUUCGUUAAACAAGCCAUCUAUGUCCCAAAGUUGAGGACCGUUUGGAGAAGAGGCCACCCAGGUAAGCUUAUCCAAGCUCAAACAUUAAUUUAAUCACUAUUUAGUUGUCGUAUUUGCGUUCCUAGAUGGAUCUUUUGAGAUUCCACAACUUUGAUAUUCUUACUUGGGAUCAUUUGAUAUGUGCCAUUGAAAAUAACAGAACAGAUCAUUCUUAGAUGAAUUCUUAGCUGAUUUCAUUGGGCUUCUCCCUUUACGCCAAUAUGAAAUAUAUUAGCUGCAGUAUAUAGUCUAGGUUCAUUUUAAUGCGACUAAAUGAGAUAAAAAUACUACUUGCUUAUACCACUCGAGUAUCCACCGUUAGGACGUUAUGUUCCCUGCGACCACAACAUAACCUUUUUGACUUAUUAUCCCUAAAAAAAGCUGUCUCUUUUUCACAAGCUGAAAAGACAAUCUGAUCUGCUACAUUUGGUCUGAAAUUUUCUUCUUGUGUGUCCACAUGAUAAAGAGGAUGCCUUUGAUCAAUUGUAAAUCACUUAUUUUUCUAGGAUAUAUAGAUAUCUUGAAUUACCCACAAUAUACUUUUAUGUCAUCUAAUAUAUGUCUCCCAGACAAUUUAAACAGAUGCAGGAUAUGAUUAGGCGCACAUAUACAAGUAUCUUUAUGACGACACUUGCACCAGUUUUCAUCGUUGUUGUUCUUGCCUGUUGCCUCCCCCCCUAUCGCUUCGCUAG